RNAcentral lists this ribosomal RNA (982 nucleotides) under uncultured bacterium. RNAcentral's name for it is "bacterial SSU rRNA". It matches the Rfam family "Bacterial small subunit ribosomal RNA", at positions 406 to 1396 of the family's 1533-position model. The record is from RNAcentral.
GGAUGACGGCCUUCGGGUUGUAAACCGCUUUCGCCUGUGACGAAGCGUGAGUGACGGUAAUGGGUAAAGAAGCACCGGCUAACUACGUGCCAGCAGCCGCGGUGAUACGUAGGGUGCGAGCGUUGUCCGGAUUUAUUGGGCGUAAAGGGCUCGUAGGUGGUUGAUCGCGUCGGAAGUGUAAUCUUGGGGCUUAACCCUGAGCGUGCUUUCGAUACGGGUUGACUUGAGGAAGGUAGGGGAGAAUGGAAUUCCUGGUGGAGCGGUGGAAUGCGCAGAUAUCAGGAGGAACACCAGUGGCGAAGGCGGUUCUCUGGGCCUUUCCUGACGCUGAGGAGCGAAAGCGUGGGGAGCGAACAGGCUUAGAUACCCUGGUAGUCCACGCUGUAAACGGUGGGUACUAGGUGUGGGGUCCAUUCCACGGGUUCCGUGCCGUAGCUAACGCUUUAAGUACCCCGCCAGGGGAGUACGGCCGCAAGGCUAAAACUCAAAGGAAUUGACGGGGCCCCGCACAAGCGGCGGAGCAUGCGGAUUAAUUCGAUGCAACGCGUAGAACCUUACCUGGGUUUGACAUGGAUCGGGAGUGCUCAGAGAUGGGUGUGCCUCUUUUGGGGUCGGUUCACAGGUGGUGCAUGGCUGUCGUCAGCUCGUGUCGUGAGAUGUUGGGUUAAGUCCCGCAACGAGCGCAACCCUUGUUCACUGUUGCCAGCACGUUAUGGUGGGGACUCAGUGGAGACCGCCGGGGUCAACUCGGAGGAAGGUGGGGAUGACGUCAAGUCAUCAUGCCCCUUAUGUCCAGGGCUUCACGCAUGCUACAAUGGCUGGUACAGAGAGUGGCGAGCCUGUGAGGGUGAGCGAAUCUCGGAAAGCCGGUCUCAGUUCGGAUUGGGGUCUGCAACUCGACCUCAUGAAGUCGGAGUCGCUAGUAAUCGCAGAUCAGCAACGCUGCGGUGAAUACGUUCCCGGGGCUUGUACACACCGCCCG